UUCUCUUACUUGUGAAGCCCAACUGCUUU
Molecule: non-coding RNA, 29 nt
Filed under: Rattus norvegicus (Norway rat)
Lineage: Eukaryota; Metazoa; Chordata; Mammalia; Rodentia; Muridae
Source: RNAcentral